Molecule: ribosomal RNA, 301 nt
Filed under: uncultured bacterium
Lineage: Bacteria
Description: partial 16S ribosomal RNA
Rfam family: Bacterial small subunit ribosomal RNA
Source: RNAcentral
CAGCCGCCACGGUAAUACAGAGGGUGCAAGCGUUAAUCGGAAUUACUGGGCGUAAAGCGCGCGUAGGUGGUUUGUUAAGUUGGAUGUGAAAGCCCCGGGCUCAACCUGGGAACUGCAUCCAAAACUGGCAAGCUAGAGUACGGUAGAGGGUGGUGGAAUUUCCUGUGUAGCGGUGAAAUGCGUAGAUAUAGGAAGGAACACCAGUGGCGAAGGCGACCACCUGGACUGAUACUGACACUGAGGUGCGAAAGCGUGGGGAGCAAACAGGAUUAGAUACCCGUGUAGUCCCUGUCUCUUAUAC